Molecule: long non-coding RNA, 541 nt
Filed under: Vombatus ursinus (common wombat)
Lineage: Eukaryota; Metazoa; Chordata; Mammalia; Diprotodontia; Vombatidae
Description: lncRNA (ENSVURG00010008221.1)
Source: RNAcentral
CACCUACAAGGAACAAGUCUAUCAGGAAGCAAGCAGAACAGGAACCCAUGCCUAGAACUGAUUGCAACUGAAAAAAAAAAAUGGGUUUGCACAAUCAAAAGCAUCAGAAGAGAAAAUGCAUUGGAAGCUGUAAUCUUAAUCACCUGGUUCUUAUACUUUGAAGGGAUCCUUGAUUUUAUGCAAGGAAGAUGAUAAUGACUACUUCUGGAAUAACACAAUUUUAGAGCUCAAACAGACCUCAGCAGCCUUCUGGUCCAACUCAUAGCUAAAAAAGAAAUGAUGAUGUGAAAGAUGUAUAAUCAUGGGUUCUUAUGAUUCUAUGGGACUUAAAAAAGUAAUCUUUUUUUGGUACACUUGCAUAUUUUAAAGUUUUAUUGAUGUCUUUUGCAUUUACAUUAUAUUAAUUUCUGAAUAUACCUCUCCUGUCUUCUAUCAGUGAGCCUUCCCUUAUAACAAAGAUUGAAAAAGGAAAAAAAAAACAGUUGAGUAAAACCAACAAGCAAGUCAUCUGUAUCUGACAGCAUAUGUAACAUUUUGUAUC